Phragmites australis (common reed) is the source of this 572-nucleotide long non-coding RNA. RefSeq lists it as uncharacterized. The transcript is spliced from 2 exons. The record is from RefSeq and is a predicted model, not a curated record. Lineage: Eukaryota; Viridiplantae; Streptophyta; Magnoliopsida; Poales; Poaceae.
GUUGCUUGUGCAUUUAUCAGCAUAAUUCAAAUCCAUAUGCUGUUCCAAUGGCUAUGGGCAUUUACCAUAGGCUGGAGAGCCCUUUGGAUAUCACUACAAGUACUAUUAUCAGGAGGAUAGUUGCUAACCAUGAAGCCUACCAGAAGCGGAAUGAGAAGAAGGAAGCUAGUGAGAAGAAGUACUAUGAGAGUAAAAGCUUUGUCAAUGGAGAGUAACUUAUGAGCAGACCUUGCAUUAAGAUUGUUGCCUGGAUCUUUUGAGAUUCCAUUUCUCCUUUGCAAAGGCAACCGUUGGGUGAUCCGCAGUUUUACCUUUUUCUCAGCAUCUUUGAUGUGUUGCUUAUAUAGCUUAGGAAGCGUCAGAUAUGGCCUUGAUGACUGAUGAGUGAGUAGCAGAGGUGACUUGGGCGAGGUUAGAGAGUCAUUUCCAUAUUUGGUUCAGUCUCACCAGCUUAUUUUGCACUGUAUAUGGGUUUUUAUGAAUGUCAUUACUGGCUGAGUUCCAUUUGAGAUCUAUAGGUUUUUCAGAUUUGUGGUACAGUAUGAAACUUUGAAUGUUAGCCUGAUUAGCUA